This 77-nucleotide transfer RNA is filed under the name Deltaproteobacteria bacterium. Its description in RNAcentral is "tRNA-Pro". It matches the Rfam family "tRNA". Rfam says of the family: Transfer RNA (tRNA) molecules are approximately 80 nucleotides in length. The record is from RNAcentral. Lineage: Bacteria; Pseudomonadati; Myxococcota; Myxococcia. RNAcentral also lists the same sequence under 1 other name.
CGGGGCGUGGCUCAGUCUGGUAGAGCACUGCGUUCGGGACGCAGGGGUCGUGGGUUCGAAUCCCGCCGCCCCGACCA